Cercocebus atys (sooty mangabey) is the source of this 547-nucleotide long non-coding RNA. RefSeq lists it as uncharacterized. The record is from RefSeq and is a predicted model, not a curated record. The transcript is spliced from 3 exons. NCBI's taxonomy places the organism in Eukaryota, Metazoa, Chordata, Mammalia, Primates, Cercopithecidae.
GGCUUUGAGGAAAGGGGACGGAGAGCAUCUGAAGGAAGCUUGGGUGUAAUCGGGCCACUGUCUCCAGAAGACUCAGGAAGGCUACUCAGAGAAGGGUCCCCCCAAGGGAUGUGGGACGGUUGGCCUAACCCUGUGGCAGACGGCUCUGCUUCUCUUCAUGGCCUAUGGAUUUGGAAAGCUCCUGAGUGCAAUGAGGAGUACCUCACCUAGCAGCCAAGACCUAUUCCCUGCCCCAGUGCCCCAGUACCCCAGAAACAGGCCAAGCCCCAGACUCUCCUGGCAUAAAUACCGGCUCCCGUCCAACCUCACGCCAUCAGGUAUGGGAGAUGCUGGGACCAGCAGCUAGCAGAGGGAAAAUGACAUAUCCUAGGAUUCAAUCCAAUCAGGAUUCCAUCCCAAGGACCAAGGUAGAAUAGAACAGCAGCCGUUCUUUCUGGGAGAUGAACCCUGCAAAUUAAGCUGCCUGGCAGGCUUGGCAGCCUGUAGGUGUGACGGGUGAGGCCUCAGCCCACUCUUUCCCCAGCCCUUGAAUUCCAUUUGUCCAGGC